CGGACGGGUGAGUAACGCGUGGAUAACCUGCCUCACACUGGGGGAUAACAGUUAGAAAUGGCUGCUAAUACCGCAUAAGCGCACAGUACCGCAUGGUACGGUGUGAAAAACCCAGGUGGUGUGAGAUGGAUCCGCGUCUGAUUAGCCAGUUGGCGGGGUAACGGCCCACCAAAGCGACGAUCAGUAGCCGACCUGAGAGGGUGACCGGCCACAUUGGGACUGAGACAAGGCCCAA
RNAcentral lists this ribosomal RNA (235 nucleotides) under uncultured bacterium. RNAcentral describes it as "partial 16S ribosomal RNA". It matches the Rfam family "Bacterial small subunit ribosomal RNA", at positions 99 to 334 of the family's 1533-position model. The record is from RNAcentral.